AGUUUAAGUAGUGUAAAACACGUUAAGUUGUAAACUUAAAAAAACCUAGGUCUAAGCUU
RNAcentral lists this transfer RNA (59 nucleotides) under Hyalella azteca. RNAcentral's name for it is "tRNA-Tyr". Lineage: Eukaryota; Metazoa; Arthropoda; Malacostraca; Amphipoda; Hyalellidae. The record is from RNAcentral.